This 833-nucleotide ribosomal RNA is filed under the name uncultured bacterium. RNAcentral's name for it is "bacterial SSU rRNA". It matches the Rfam family "Bacterial small subunit ribosomal RNA", at positions 51 to 878 of the family's 1533-position model. The record is from RNAcentral.
ACACAUGCAAGUCGAGGGGCAGCAUAAUGGGUAGCAAUAUCUAUGGUGGCGACCGGCGCACGGGUGCGUAACGCGUAUGCAACCUACCUUUAACAGGGGGAUAACACUGAGAAAUUGGUACUAAUACCCCAUAAUAUCAUAGAAGGCAUCUUUUAUGGUUGAAAAUUCCGAUGGUUAGAGAUGGGCAUGCGUUGUAUUAGCUAGUUGGUGGGGUAACGGCUCACCAAGGCGACGAUACAUAGGGGGACUGAGAGGUUAACCCCCCACACUGGUACUGAGACACGGACCAGACUCCUACGGGAGGCAGCAGUGAGGAAUAUUGGUCAAUGGACGCAAGUCUGAACCAGCCAUGCCGCGUGCAGGAUGACGGCUCUAUGAGUUGUAAACUGCUUUUGUACGAGGGUAAACGCAGAUACGUGUAUCUGUCUGAAAGUAUCGUACGAAUAAGGAUCGGCUAACUCCGUGCCAGCAGCCGCGGUAAUACGGAGGAUUCAAGCGUUAUCCGGAUUUAUUGGGUUUAAAGGGUGCGUAGGCGGUUUGAUAAGUUAGAGGUGAAAUUUCGGGGCUCAACCCUGAACGUGCCUCUAAUACUGUUGAGCUAGAGAGUAGUUGCGGUAGGCGGAAUGUAUGGUGUAGCGGUGAAAUGCUUAGAGAUCAUACAGAACACCGAUUGCGAAGGCAGCUUACCAAACUAUAUCUGACGUUGAGGCACGAAAGCGUGGGGAGCAAACAGGAUUAGAUACCCUGGUAGUCCACGCAGUAAACGAUGAUAACUCGUUGUCGGCGAUACACAGUCGGUGACUAAGCGAAAGCGAUAAGUUAUCCACCUGGGG